GCAUUUGGGGGAUGUAUAGCAUAUGCUAAUUGUAUGUUAAAUACAAUAUCGACUAUGUCGAAUAAAGUUCUAGAUAGAAUACUGAUAAUGACAAUUUUCUAUCUAUAUGUCUUGACCAAAUCACGUGCCAGCAGUCGCGGUAAUACGUGGAAGACUAGUGUUAUUCAUCUUUAAUAGGUUUAAAGGGUACCUAGACGGUAUUUCUAGCCCGUAUAGGGUACAGACUUACUAGAGUUUAAUAUAAGAAGAGAAAAUUAAGAAUGAUACCUUUCUUCAUUUUUUGUAGUACUUGAGGUGUAGAGAUAAAAUUUUGUAAUACUUUAAGGAAACUGGUGAUGCGAAAGCAACCUUCUAUGUAUAAACUGACGUUGAGGGACGAAGGCUUGGGUCGCGAAUAGGAUUAGAUACCCUAGUAGUCCAAGCAGAAAAUUAUGAAUGUCAUAGAUCAGAUUUAUUUUGGUUUAUAAAUGAAAGUGUAAGCAUUCCACCUCAAGAGUAAUGUGGCAACGCAGGAACUGAAAUCAUUAGACCGUUUCUGAAACCAGUAGUGAAGUAUGUUAUUUAAUUCGAUAAUCCGCGAAAAACCUUACCACAGUUUGAAUACUUAAAUUGUACAAGCGCUGCACGGCUGUCUUCAGUUAAUGUCGUGAGAUUUUGGUUAGUUCCAUUAAAUUAACGUAAACCCUUGCUUUAUUUAAUCUAGAUUUUCUUAUCGGCAAGGUUAAGGAAAUCAUUUUUUUUUAUAAAGUAGUUCACCGCUAUAUUGGAUAUGAUAAAAGGGAAUAAGACAAGUCAUCAG
Molecule: ribosomal RNA, 799 nt
Filed under: Sarea resinae
Lineage: Eukaryota; Fungi; Ascomycota; Sareomycetes; Sareales; Zythiaceae
Description: SSU rRNA
Rfam family: Bacterial small subunit ribosomal RNA
Source: RNAcentral